Non-coding RNA from Oncorhynchus mykiss (rainbow trout), 529 nucleotides. Lineage: Eukaryota; Metazoa; Chordata; Actinopteri; Salmoniformes; Salmonidae. The record is from RefSeq and is a predicted model, not a curated record.
AUUCUCAACUGAAUAUCAACAGGGCGCAGGGAAGUUUACGUUACGCAGUGUUUUGCUUUCUUCUACAAACUUUUCUCAAAACUGAAAAAGUACAACAUGGCUACUAAGAGUGGAAAAGCUACAUCGAAGUCCAAGUAUAACAAUUUGGAUGAGAUUGUUGCAGAAAUUGACUGGGAGAGAGAACUAGUGGAAUGGAUGAGUUGUCUGAGUGAGCAGUUUUGUUUCCAGGGUGCAAGAAAGAUUUUUGUAAGGAAAAUGUACUUUUAGAUCAUCUGACCCCUCUGCUGUCUCUGGCUCCAUACCCCCGCACGGCCAUUUAAAGUUGUGAAGACACCCAGCUCCACCAACACCCUUUGGACAACAAAGUGCCUAGAACAACAACACAACUGGAUUCAUGACCGACUGAGCCUGGUCACUUAGCUCAGUGGUUCUCUCCUUUUUUGGUUACUUUACCCCCUUUCACAUGACUAAUAUAGUACUACUAUAUACUCUCUCACAUGACUGUACCCUUGGGGAUUAAUAAAGUACU